Molecule: ribosomal RNA, 253 nt
Filed under: uncultured bacterium
Lineage: Bacteria
Description: partial 16S ribosomal RNA
Rfam family: Bacterial small subunit ribosomal RNA
Source: RNAcentral
UACGAAGGGGGCUAGCGUUGCUCGGAAUCACUGGGCGUAAAGCGCACGUAGGCGGAUUUCUAAGUCAGGGAUGAAAUCCUGGAGCUCAACUCCAGAACUGCCUUUGAUACUGGGAAUCUCGAGUCCGGGAGAGGUGAGUGGAACUGCGAGUGUAGAGGUGAAAUUCGUAGAUAUUCGCAAGAACACCAGUGGCGAAGGCGGCUCACUGGCCCGAUACUGACGCUGAGGUGCGAAAGCGUGGGGAGCAAACAGG